RNAcentral lists this long non-coding RNA (1210 nucleotides) under Malus domestica (apple). RNAcentral describes it as "long non-coding RNA (MDOM_LNC012004)". The record is from RNAcentral. Lineage: Eukaryota; Viridiplantae; Streptophyta; Magnoliopsida; Rosales; Rosaceae.
CAAUUUUGUCUGCAAGCUUCCUUUGAAAGAGAAGGGCAGGUCGCAUUAGUUAAACGUAUAUGACAAUGUGACAAUCUCGCAAAAUUAAUAGUGAUACAGGUGAAAACCAUAACCGUUCUUCAAAACAACAACUUCUGGUGUUGGAAACUAGAAGGGCCCGACCAACUAUCAUUUACAAUUGUACAGAGCUGACACUAAAAAAUGGAAAUGAGAAGAGAAGGGCAGGUGGCAUUAGUUAAACGUAUAUGACAAUCUUACGAAGUUAAUAGUGAUACAGGUGAAAACCACAACUGUUCUUCAAAACAAGAACUUCUGGUGUUGGAAACUAGAAGGACCAACUAUCAUACCUUGAAAGCGUCACGAAAAGGGCAUCAGAACGGGUAUUUGAUAUAAAAUCCGAUUCAAAAUGUAGUUACAUUAGACCUAUUAUAGCCUUUUUUUUUUCCCUUGAAGAUUAAUGUAACUUUGAGUAUUUAAUUUCAAAAGUGUUCUCCAAGUCAUCCAAGAAAACGCGACUUGAAGAACUUAUCUGCCAAGCUAUUCAAAACAAAUGAAUUAGCUGUAGAAAACAGAUGUGGGAAUGAGUCAUACCUAGCCUUUGGAGCUUCAUACCUUGCAUUGCCAAACAAAAUGUAACAUUAACAAGUGGUUUUCUGAUAGAACAGCAAUGCAAUCAACUGUAUAGCAGAGACAUGGUUUGAAGGAUCGAAUAUCAAUUACGCUAUUCGAAUUCCCAAUUGGAAGCAAACUGGGAAAGAAAGAACAACAAUCAUGCAAAAACAGAAGAAAGAAAGAAAGAACAGAAAUUGGGGAACAAGUAAAUAGUUGAUCAAUUAAUCAAACAAAUGCACAGAGCCAAAAGGAAAAGGAAAAUGUCAAAACUGAUUCCUCCAUCAAUUAAUCUAACAUAUGCAACAGUGUCAGAGAUUUUAGAGAGACACUCAGCAGCCCAUUACUAACACACCGUAACACAGAUAGUAAGAUAGACAAGACCUCGAUAUAAUUAGAUAUACAACCACAUAUAUAUAUAUAUAUAUAUAGGUUACAUUAAUUUUGUCAAUUUUCCGACGUGAGAUUCUUGCACCCAUUAAUUCACACAAGCUAAAAACCAGAAGCCAUUAAGCUCACAAACUCAAAUCAUAAACUGAACAAAAAACGCAAACUUUAGAAACAAGUAAAAAAAGAAAGACUUUUGGAGUGGUGGGUAAAG